GAAGAAGAACAGAGACUACCCUCUGGCC
Molecule: non-coding RNA, 28 nt
Filed under: Cricetulus griseus (Chinese hamster)
Lineage: Eukaryota; Metazoa; Chordata; Mammalia; Rodentia; Cricetidae
Source: RNAcentral